GCUCUAUAUAUUCUUAUACAAGGUGGUUUUGUGCAAAACAGUAACAUUAAUGUUCUGAAUCAGCUAUUUGUGGAUUGAUGAUUCAUAUUUAUUUUAUUCUGUAUGCUUUCUAUGUUAUCACAUUUUACUAGCCAUAAUGCAGAACUACACCUUGAGUAUGUUCAGUUUUCCAUCAUGUUAUGCCAUCAAAUGGUUUAGAUUAUCAAUCCAAGGACCAUUGCAGUUAUAGUCACAAAGGUUUCACCUAAUCUUAUCAUUAAUUUCUCUCUGCAAGGCCAAAAUCAUGUUUUUUAUUCGGCUUUGUUUGAGAAGGUUAUAAAACACCAUAGUUCCAUAUUGGUUAAAAGUAACUGAUUGGCCUAGUAGUUAUAAUCACAAAGGCAUAGAGCCAAGUUGCACUUUGCUUUCUUGAAAUUUUAGUGGUUAAGAGCUCUUAGCAAAUCAUGAUA
Molecule: unclassified non-coding RNA, 449 nt
Filed under: Hevea brasiliensis (rubber tree)
Lineage: Eukaryota; Viridiplantae; Streptophyta; Magnoliopsida; Malpighiales; Euphorbiaceae
Source: RNAcentral